UGGUUUUUGGGACAUUUGAAUGGACAUUCAUAUUCACCCGCCUUGUUAUUUUUUUCUAAAUACUUUGUGAUGUUUCUGGACACGUUAUAUGCCGUUAUAUGCAAAUAGUACUGUAUGGUAUCAGUGGCGAAUAUUUGGGGAUUUCAAUAAGGCACCUGGGACAACUACGGGGGUCCUCAGUACCCGGAAGUAGUUGACAGUGAGCGGGAGUUUCGCCGGGUCGUGACUGUAACUGCCGCUGUUGUGUGUGUUUCAGGUGAUUGCGACGCACCGCAAGCCCUGCAAUGAACCAUUGACGCCUUCAAAGAUAAUUCGUCAACAAAUGCAGAGGCGCCUCGCUCUACAUGCAUGUAAUCUAGGAGACAAGGAAGAAUGAAAGGAGAACGCCGUGUGGAUGAAGGCAGAAGAAAUGGGAUGACAGUGAGAAGAAUAAGAAAGAGAUGUUCGUGAAGGGCUAAAGUGCAGUUUGUCACCUGUUUGCACCACAAUGGAAAAGUGCGGCCCUGCGCAGGAAGUGCUGAGGGUGCGUGGGAGGUGCAAGUGUUAGAAAAGAAGGUUCCCGUUGCCAUAAUUUCACAUCUGGAAAAGUGAGGCCGCUCAAAUAGCAGUGGCUGGCUCUGGAUUCCUGCAGAAAUUGUGUAUGCACACAUUCUCAGGU
Long non-coding RNA from Syngnathus acus (greater pipefish), 658 nucleotides. RefSeq lists it as uncharacterized. The record is from RefSeq and is a predicted model, not a curated record. The transcript is spliced from 5 exons. Lineage: Eukaryota; Metazoa; Chordata; Actinopteri; Syngnathiformes; Syngnathidae.